RNAcentral lists this ribosomal RNA (240 nucleotides) under Escherichia coli. RNAcentral's name for it is "partial 16S ribosomal RNA". It matches the Rfam family "Bacterial small subunit ribosomal RNA", at positions 155 to 397 of the family's 1533-position model. The record is from RNAcentral. Lineage: Bacteria; Pseudomonadati; Pseudomonadota; Gammaproteobacteria; Enterobacterales; Enterobacteriaceae.
AACGGUAGCUAAUACCGCAUAACGUCGCAAGACCAAAGAGGGGGACCUUCGGGCCUCUUGCCAUCGGAUGUGCCCAGAUGGGAUUAGCUAGUAGGUGGGGUAACGGCUCACCUAGGCGACGAUCCCUAGCUGGUCUGAGAGGAUGACCAGCCACACUGGAACUGAGACACGGUCCAGACUCCUACGGGAGGCAGCAGUGGGGAAUAUUGCACAAUGGGCGCAAGCCUGAUGCAGCCAUGC